RNAcentral lists this ribosomal RNA (253 nucleotides) under uncultured bacterium. RNAcentral describes it as "partial 16S ribosomal RNA". It matches the Rfam family "Bacterial small subunit ribosomal RNA", at positions 524 to 776 of the family's 1533-position model. The record is from RNAcentral.
UACGAAGGGGGCUAGCGGUGUUCGGAAUUACUGGGCGUAAAGCGCACGUAGGCGGAUUAGUAAGUCACGGGUGAAAUCCCGGGUCUCAACCUCGGAACUGCCUUUGAUACUGCUUACCUCGAGUCCUGAAGAGGUCAGUGGAAUUCCUAGUGUACAGGUGAAAUUCUUAGAUAUUAGGAAGAACACCAGUGGCGAAGUUAGGUCUCUGGUCCGGUACUGACGCUGAGGUGCUACUGCGCGCGGAGCUAUCAGG